UGUAUGCGAAGCAGAAUACAUUGCUGCAUCAGUUGCUGCAAUGUUCUACACUGCUAUCAUCUGGUGUGAGAGAUCGUGAAUCAUGGUGACAUCAAACUUCAGAAGAUUGACGAAAAAGAGAACCUAACCAACCCCUUCACUAAAGCUCUUAGGAUCAAAGAGUUCGAGGACUUCAAAUGAAAGAUGGGUAUAAGAUACUG
RNAcentral lists this long non-coding RNA (200 nucleotides) under Elaeis guineensis (African oil palm). Its description in RNAcentral is "long non-coding RNA (EGUI_LNC047046)". Lineage: Eukaryota; Viridiplantae; Streptophyta; Magnoliopsida; Arecales; Arecaceae. The record is from RNAcentral.